AAUAAAAUAAAAUCAAACAACGCAUGUAACAACGCAUGUAAUCAAGUAAAUCUCAUACAACCAACAAGCACACAACUAAAUAGUAUUAACUAAUACUAAUUUACGGAAUAAAUAAAAUAAAAUAAAAUAAAAUAAAUUAAAUCAAAAGAAAUCAAGAAAAUAGAGAAAAUGUAGGGUGCAAACUGUAAAGUGAAAUGCGUAAGCAGAAUAACCAGCACAAUAUACUGUAUUAUAAACCGUAAUAUAAACAAAAUAAAGAAUAAGAUACCGUGAAGUUACAGUGAAGUUAAUUUCGAAAUAAUAUAACCAUAGAUAAUAUAAACCAUAGAACAGCCACCUUCAAAGAUGUCAGGUGACAGAAUUUACAGAGAUAUAACCUUAACCCUAACCCCUAAUGUGUCAAAACAAGGAUGUCAACAGGAAGCAAGAACAGUGUAAGAAGACUCGUUAGGGAUAAGAAGAACAAAUUACCAAUUAAGGAACCCUGAUUGCCAACUCAAGGACAGGAAACAAGCAAGAAAGGCACUGUCACCCUUUUGUGAAAGGGCUACGCAAUACCAAUGCCAGGGAGAGACAUCAUGAAUUAAUUGAAUUAAAGAAUAUCGAAGAAGAAUCAAAAUAUCCAAGGAUAUAUAACAGGCGACAAAUCAAGAAGGCGACAGGAAAUGAAAUAAAAUAGUGGUAGUCAGUGAUAACGUGACACAAUUAAAUUAAAAUAUAAAAUAUAUAUGUAUUAAAUGUAUUAAAUAUAGAAUAACCGCAUAAAAGUAAACAUAAAUAUGUUAAUAUAAUCUACAAAACUUUGUACCACCAUGAACAUACAAUUAGACUAAAUCAUAACAAUAGCUUCAAUUCAAUUUAAUUCAGAAGAAGAACAAAUGAGAGAAUGAAAGAAUGAAUGAAUGAACCACUGAUCAGUGAAGUUAUUAAUUCAAGAAAUUAAAUAAUGUAGUAAAUAGGAAAGCGUUAAGGAUAAAGUGAAAGCCGUGACCACCAUAAAUAAUAAAGUAACGCAGUGUGAUACAAUGCAAUGUGACGUCAUAUAACAUAAAACAAAUGAAAUAUAAUGAAAUAGAAUACAAAAUUCAAGAAGUGGGCUCACUAAAAUAUAACUGUGAAGAUUAUUAAUGAAAUACUCUAUUCCUUUACACAAGUAAAUUAUAAGUUAAAUUGUGAGCGGUAUUUGGUGAAUGAUAAAUGGUCAUGUCAAUGCAAAUGCAAAUAGAACCGAUUAUUGCAUGACAUUUCAAAAAAGUGGGUAAAUAGCAAAUAAAUCAAAUCAAAUGUAGACUGCGUAGUUCAAUUAACGCUGUGCUACUGUAUAGUGUAGAGAUAAAUAAAUAACUCAACAAGUAGAGUAUUAAAAACUAACAUUUAAAAUGGUGAAUUAAACAGAAACCAUGCACCUUCAAAGCACUUGAAUAGACAAAACCAUUCAGCAUCACAGAAAAAUAACAAAAUUAAGAUAAAUUAAAAUAAAUUAAGAUAAAGUAAGAUAAAGAUAAAUCAAGUCAAAUCAAAUCACCAACUUCAGCUGAUCAGAGUGGAUGAAUGGAUGAAUGGAUCAAGGAAGGAAGAGAGAAACAGCAGAAUACCAGCAAGUACAAGUAAGAAUCACAACCCCAAUGUGUCAAAGCAGUAUCAAAACCAGCAUGCAAGGACUAGUUAAACGAAAUAACAAAUAAGAGAGCUGAAUUGCAACUGAAAAGGAAAAGAAAAGGAGAAAGAAAGGAAACAAGAAACAGCCCAUCGUCAUGGAAGAGCAACAUUAUGACCAGAGAGAGACAUCAUGGAUAAAUUGAAUUAAAGAAUAUCAAGAACAUCAAAAUGUCCAAUGAAUAUCAAGAAUGCACAGGCAAAUCAAAAACCAAUCAACCAAUCAAAACCAAAUCAAGAAGCGAUAAUGAAAUAAGUAAAUAGCAAUAACAGUGAUAAUGUGGCACAGAUAAAUUAAUAUAUAUAAGUAUAAGUAUAUUAAAUUAUAGAAUAUAGAAUAAAGAAUAACCAUAUGGAAAUAAAUCAUAAAUAUAUUAAUACAAUCUACAGAACUACAGAACUUUGUACCAUCAUGAGUUAAAUAAAUAAACUAAGUCAUAACAAUUA
Long non-coding RNA from Osmia bicornis bicornis, 2103 nucleotides. RefSeq lists it as uncharacterized. The record is from RefSeq and is a predicted model, not a curated record. Lineage: Eukaryota; Metazoa; Arthropoda; Insecta; Hymenoptera; Megachilidae. The transcript is spliced from 4 exons.